Molecule: ribosomal RNA, 850 nt
Filed under: uncultured Gammaproteobacteria bacterium
Lineage: Bacteria; Pseudomonadati; Pseudomonadota; Gammaproteobacteria
Description: bacterial SSU rRNA
Rfam family: Bacterial small subunit ribosomal RNA
Source: RNAcentral
GCUGGCGGCAUGCUUAACACAUGCAAGUCGAACGGAAACGAUGGAAGCUUGCUUCCAGGCGUCGAGUGGCGGACGGGUGAGUAAUGCUUGGGAAUCUGCCUAAUAGUGGGGGAAAACUCGGGGAAACUCGGGCUAAUACCGCAUAAUCUCUUCGGAGGAAAGGGGGCCUCUACAUGUAAGCCCUCGCUAAUAGAUGAGCCCAAGUCAGAUUAGCUUGUUGGUGAGGUAAUGGCUCACCAAGGCAACGAUCUGUAGCUGGUCUGAGAGGACGAUCAGCCACACUGGGACUGAGACACGGCCCAGACUCCUACGGGAGGCAGCAGUGGGGAAUAUUGCACAAUGGGGGAAACCCUGAUGCAGCAAUGCCGCGUGUGUGAAGAAGGCUUUAGGGUUGUAAAGCACUUUCAAUAGAGAAGAAAAGCUUAGGGUUAAUACCCCUAAGUAUUGACGUAACCUAUAGAAGAAGCACCGGCUAAAUCCGUGCCAGCAGCCGCGGUAAUACGGAUGGUGCGAGCGUUAAUCGGAAUUACUGGGCGUAAAGAGCACGUAGGCUGUUUUAUAAGUCGGAUGUGAAAUCCCCGGGCUUAACCUGGGAACUGCAUCCGAAACUAUUUAACUAGAGUAUGGGAGAGGUAAGUAGAAUUUCCGGUGUAGCGGUGAAAUGCGUAGAUAUCGGAAGGAAUACCAGUGGCGAAGGCGGCUUACUGGACCAAUACUGACGCUGAGGUGCGAAAGCGUGGGGAGCGAACAGGAUUAGAUACCCUGGUAGUCCACGCCGUAAACGAUGAGAACUAGACGUUGGGAGGAUUAGCCUCUCAGUGUCGCAGCUAACGCAUUAAGUUCUCCGCCU